AGGGAGCACAUUGAUCCCAUCUGUUUUCAACCUGAGGCUGGGGCUAUGUGUCUGUUUCCCUGUGUUUGCUAACAUUGACUCACAUCAAAUGCUCAGUGAAUCCUCGGCAAGUGUUAAAAACAGGCAGAGCCACAGACAAAUGCAUGUCCGAAAUGACAGGAGGCUUUACAGGUCUCCUUGGCCCUGCCAAGAGGGAUGCAUGGCUGCAGUUAAGGGCAGAGAUCGAAGGCCUAACAGAUUCCUGGCUAACAAAUGCAC
Molecule: long non-coding RNA, 258 nt
Filed under: Rattus norvegicus (Norway rat)
Lineage: Eukaryota; Metazoa; Chordata; Mammalia; Rodentia; Muridae
Description: long non-coding RNA NONRATT000097
Source: RNAcentral